GCAUCCUUAGCUCAGCAAGGCAGAGCAUUUCACACUUAUCGAAAAGGUCGGAAGUUCAAUUCUUUCAGGAUGCA
This 74-nucleotide transfer RNA is filed under the name Anaeramoeba flamelloides. RNAcentral describes it as "tRNA-Lys". It matches the Rfam family "tRNA". From Rfam's summary of the family: Transfer RNA (tRNA) molecules are approximately 80 nucleotides in length. Their secondary structure includes four short double-helical elements and three loops (D, anti-codon, and T loops). The record is from RNAcentral. Lineage: Eukaryota; Anaeramoebidae.